AGAGUUUGAUCCUGGCUCAGGACGAACGCUGGCGGCGCGCCUAACACAUGCAAGUCGAACGAAGAACUUAAGGAAUGCGACUUCGGUCAAAUGAUAUUUGUUCUUAGUGGCGGACGGGUGAGUAACACGUGAGCAACCUGCCUUUCAGAGGGGGAUAACGUUUGGAAACGAACGCUAAUACCGCAUAACGUACUUUUUGGGCAUCCAUGAAGUACCAAAGGAGCAAUCCGCUGAGAGAUGGGCUCGCGUCCGAUUAGCUAGAUGGUGAGGUAACGGCCCACCAUGGCGACGAUCGGUAGCCGGACUGAGAGGUCGAACGGCCACAUUGGGACUGAGACACGGCCCAGACUCCUACGGGAGGCAGCAGUGGGGAAUAUUGGUCAAUGGGGGAAACCCUGAACCAGCGACGCCGCGUGAGGGAAGACGGUUUUCGGAUUGUAAACCUCUGUCCUUGGGGACGAAUAAAUGACUGUACCCAAGGAGGAAGCCACGGCUAACUACGUGCCAGCAGCCGCGGUAAUACGUAGGUGGCAAGCGUUGUCCGGAAUUACUGGGUGUAAAGGGAGUGUAGGCGGGACAGUAAGUUGAAUGUUAAACCUAUCGGCUCAACCGGUAGUCGCGUUCAAAACUGCUGUUCUUGAGUGAAGUAGAGGCAGGCGGAAUUCCUAGUGUAGCGGUGAAAUGCGUAGAUAUUAGGAGGAACACCAGUGGCGAAGGCGGCCUGCUGGGCUUUUACUGACGCUGAGGCUCGAAAGUGUGGGGAGCAAACAGGAUUAGAUACCCUGGUAGUCCACACUGUAAACGAUGAUUACUAGGUGUGGGGGGACUGACCCCUUCCGUGCCGGAGUUAACACAAUAGGUAAUCCACCUGGGGAGUACGGCCGCAAGGCUGAAACUCAAAGGAAUUGACGGGGGCCCGCACAAGCAGUGGAGUAUGUGGUUUAAUUCGAAGCAACGCGAAGAACCUUACCAGGUCUUGACAUCCAACUAACGAAAUAGAGAUAUAUUAGGUGCCCUUCGGGGAAAGUUGAGACAGGUGGUGCAUGGUUGUCGUCAGCUCGUGUCGUGAGAUGUUGGGUUAAGUCCCGCAACGAGCGCAACCCCUACUGUUAGUUGCUACGCAAGAGCACUCUAGCAGGACUGCCGUUGAUAAAACGGAGGAAGGUGGGGAUGACGUCAAAUCAUCAUGCCCUUUAUGACCUGGGCUACACACGUACUACAAUGGCCGUAAACAGAGGGAAGCAAAACAGCGAUGUAGAGCAAACCCCUAAAAGCGGUCUCAGUUCGGAUUGUAGGCUGCAACCCGCCUACAUGAAGUCGGAAUUGCUAGUAAUCGCGGAUCAGCAUGCCGCGGUGAAUACGUUCCCGGGCCUUGUACACACCGCCCGUCACACCAUGAGAGUCGGUAACACCCGAAGUCAGUAGUCUAACCGCAAGGGGGACGCUGCCGAAGGUGGGAUUGAUGAUUGGGGUGAAGUCGUAACAAGGUAGCCGUAUCGGAAGGUGCGGCUGGAUCACCUCCUU
RNAcentral lists this ribosomal RNA (1524 nucleotides) under uncultured bacterium. RNAcentral describes it as "bacterial SSU rRNA". It matches the Rfam family "Bacterial small subunit ribosomal RNA". The record is from RNAcentral.